This 428-nucleotide ribosomal RNA is filed under the name uncultured archaeon. RNAcentral's name for it is "bacterial SSU rRNA". It matches the Rfam family "Archaeal small subunit ribosomal RNA", at positions 474 to 903 of the family's 1478-position model. The record is from RNAcentral.
UACCUGCAGCUCGAGUGGUAACCGCUAUUAUUGGGCCUAAAGCGUCCGUAGCCGGUUUGGUAAAUAUCUGGGUAAAUCGUGAGGCUUAACUUCACGAAUUUCGGAUAGACUGCCAGACUUGGGAUCGGGGGAGGUCAGAGGUACUCCAGGGGUAGCGGUGAAAUGUUGUAAUCCUUGGAGGACCACCGGUAGCGAAGGCGUCUGACUAGAACGAGUCCGACGGUGAGGGACGAAGCCCUGGGGCGCAAACCGGAUUAGAUACCCGGGUAGUCCAGGGUGUAAACAAUGUGGGCUUUGUAUUGGAGAUCCCACGUGGGUGUCCAGUGCAGAAGAGAAGUUGUUAAGCCCACCGCCUGGGAAGUACGGUCGCAAGGCUGAAACUUAAAGGAAUUGGCGGGGAGCACAGCAACGGGAGGAGCGUGCGGUUU